RNAcentral lists this long non-coding RNA (320 nucleotides) under Parus major (Great Tit). RNAcentral's name for it is "lncRNA (ENSPMJG00000018131.1)". The record is from RNAcentral. Lineage: Eukaryota; Metazoa; Chordata; Aves; Passeriformes; Paridae.
CUGGAAAAAAAGGAGUAAUUAGAAGAAAAGAUGGAAUAAUCUGAGAGAGGGUGGAGAUUUUUGGAGUCAUCACAUGGUAUGUGGAAUUGAAGCCAAGAACUGUGUGUCCUAAUAAUUUCUUUGCUGUUUUUGCUGAUCUCACAGCAAAUUAAAUGAUUUCUCCAACACAUGGGUCAUACACCCCACUUUACACAGAUUGCAGAUUGAAAGCUGGAAUUUUAAGAAUGUUACGUGGAUGUGCUGGAACCACAGAUGUUACAAUGAAGCAGAUCUCAUGUUACUUCAGCAAUCUCAGCGUGAAAGUUGAUUUCAGGUGGUGA